GAAAUUCCUGUACUACGGUAUGAAAGAAAUGUGGGGACGCAUGUGGAGAGCAUGAGCCGGGAAAGGAAAGACCGGUGCAAGCGGGACAGUAGCCAUGCAGGCAAAUCCGUGUGGCAAUACGAAGACGUGACGCGGACCGGAAUAAAGUAGGGAAGCACGUGAGCCAUGUGCCAAGAAAAGCCGCUAUAGAUCAUACCGUACCCGUACCGUAAACCGACACAGGUAGAUGAGGAGAGAAUCCUAAGGCCGACGGGAGAAGCAUUGUUAAGGAACUCGGCAAAAUGACCCCGUAACUUCGGGAGAAGGGGUGCCCACGCGAGUGGGCCGCAGAGAAUAGGCUCAAGCAACUGUUUAGCAGAAACACAGGUCUAUGCGAAACCGAAAGGUGAGGUAUAUGGGCUGACGCCUGCCCGGUGCUGGUAGGUUAAGAGGAGGAGUCAGGCAACGAAGCUCCGAAUUUAAGCCCCAGUAAACGGCGGCCGUAACAAUAACGGUCCUAAGGUAGCGAAAUUCCUUGUCGGGUAAGUUCCGACCCGCACGAAAGGCGUAAUGAUUUGAGCACUGUCUCGACAAUGCACCCGGUGAAAUUGAAGUACCAGUGAAGAUGCUGGUUACCUGCGCCAGGACGGAAAGACCCCAUGGAGCUUUACUCCAGUUUGAUACUGGGAUUCGAUACUGAAUGUACAGGAUAGGUGGGAGGCUGAGAAGCGUGGACGCCAGUCCGCGGUGAGCCGCUGUUGGGAUACCACCCUUUGAGUAUUGGAUUUCUAACCUGCGCCCGUGACCCGGGCGGGGGACAAUGUCUGACGGGGAGUUUGACUGGGGCGGUCGCCUCCGGAAGGGUAUCGGAGGCGCUCAAAGGCUCCCUCAGAAUGGUUGGAAACCAUUCGCAGAGUGCAAAGGCAGAAGGGAGCUUGACUGUGACACCGACGGGUGGAGCAGGUACGAAAGUAGGACUUAGUGAUCCGGUGGUAUGAAAGUGGGAUUGCCAUCGCUCAUCGGAUAAAAGCUACCCUGGGAUAACAGGCUUAUCACUCCCAAGAGUUCACAUCGACGGAGUGGUUUGGCACCUCGAUGUCGGCUCAUCGCAUCCUGGGGCUGUAGCAGGUCCCAAGGGUUGGGCUGUUCGCCCAUUAAAGCGGUACGCGAGCUGGGUUCAGAACGUCGUGAGACAGUUCGGUCCCUAUCCGGCGCAGGCGUAGGAUAUUUGAGAGGAGCUGUCCUUAGUACGAGAGGACCGGGAUGGACAGACCGCUGGUGUACCUGUUGGUGACCAACACCAUGGCAGAGUAGCCAAGUCUGGCAGGGAUAAACGCUGAAGGCAUCUAAGCGUGAAGCCCCCCUCAAGAUGAGAUAUCCCAAUAAGUAAGACCCCUUAGAGAGUGUGAGGUAGAUAGGCUUAAGGUGUAAGCAUAGUAAUAUGUUCAGCUGAUAAGUACUAAUAGGUCGAGGGCUUACC
Molecule: ribosomal RNA, 1459 nt
Filed under: metagenome
Description: bacterial LSU rRNA
Rfam family: Bacterial large subunit ribosomal RNA
Source: RNAcentral